GCACGAAAGUUAGCCGGUGCUUAUUCUUCAGGUACCGUCAUCAUCUCCCCUGACAAAAGAACUUUACAACCCUAAGGCCUUCAUCAUUCACGCGGCAUGGCUGGAUCAGGGUUUCCCCCAUUGUCCAAUAUUCCCCA
This 137-nucleotide ribosomal RNA is filed under the name uncultured bacterium. RNAcentral describes it as "partial 16S ribosomal RNA". The record is from RNAcentral.